RNAcentral lists this ribosomal RNA (442 nucleotides) under uncultured bacterium. Its description in RNAcentral is "partial 16S ribosomal RNA". It matches the Rfam family "Bacterial small subunit ribosomal RNA", at positions 338 to 795 of the family's 1533-position model. The record is from RNAcentral.
CCUACGGGAGACAGCAGUAGGGAAUCUUUCACAAUGGGCGAAAGCCUGAUGGAGCAACGCCGCGUGCAGGAUGAAGGCCUUCGGGUUGUAAACUGCUUUUAUAAGCGAGAAAUAUGAUGGUAACUUAUGAAUAAGGAUCGGCUAACUACGUGCCAGCAGCCGCGGUCAUACGUAGGAUCCGAGCAUUAUCCGGAGUGACUGGGUGUAAAGAGUUGCGUAGGUGGCAUAAUAAGUAGCUAGUGAAAUCUGGUGGCUCAACCAUUCAGACUAUUAGCGAAACUGUUAAGCUCGAGACCGUUAGGGGUAACUGGAAUUUCUAGUGUAGGAGUGAAAUCCGUAGAUAUUAGAAGGAACACCAGUAGCGUAGGCAGGUUGCUGGGACGGUUCUGACACUAAGGCACGAAAGCGUAGGGAGCAAACGGGAUUAGAUACCCUAGUAGUC